This 4104-nucleotide long non-coding RNA is filed under the name Gossypium barbadense (sea-island cotton). RNAcentral describes it as "long non-coding RNA (GBAR_LNC015976)". The record is from RNAcentral. Lineage: Eukaryota; Viridiplantae; Streptophyta; Magnoliopsida; Malvales; Malvaceae.
CUAAAACACCAUGGAAGGGCUUCUUCAAGCUGGUUCUUCAUAUUUUUAUUACAAGUAAGUUCAAUUCUUGACUAUUUCUUGAAAUUUUUGUAUUUGUAUGACUUUUACAACUAGGCCCACUUGUUAAAUUCAUUAGUUUUUGAUUUUAUGAAAGAAGUUGAAAGUUGAUAUGAAUAUGUGCUGAAAUUAUAUGAUGAUUUAUCAUGAAAUUAGAGCUUUAAAUUGUUCAUAUGCUGAUUUUAUUGAAAGAAUUGAAUAAAAAGUGAAUGUUUGGGACCUAAUAGUAAAAGAGUUUGAAGAUAGAGUUAUAUGUGGAAAUUCUGGAUUUCAAUAGUUGAGUAAUAACUUAUAAUGUCUAGGUAAAGUAUUAAUUGAGAAAAUUAGAUUAAUUGAGGGGUUAAUUGAGAAAGGACCGAAUUGUAUAAACUGUGAAAUUUGGGGCAAAAUGGAAAUCAACAUUUUGCACUAAAGCAGUUUUGGACAGCAGCAGUAGUGUAACUUUGAAAAAUCACCAAAAAUUGUAGAGAUUGAAUUAGAGGAUGAAUAAAAUAUGAAACUAAAGCUUAUUGAGUCUAGUUUCUUAUAAAAGAAAUGGUGUGAGCAAUGUAAUUGUAAAUCAUGAGAUAUAAUAGAUUUUGUGAGACAAGGUCAGAAUGAAUUCGGGUUCCCCUGUUCUGACUUUGGAAAAUCAUUAAAAAUCGUACAAAAAUUAUUAUGAGUUAUAAUUUAUAUGGUUAGAAUCCUUAAUGAGUCUAUUUUUAUAAGAAACAAAUGAAAAUAUCAUCCAAAUUCUUUACAAUUAGAUAAUUAAUUUUUAGUAAAGAGUGGUCGGAACUGUCAGACAGCGAAAUAGGGGAAACUUUAAAGAAUAAACUGUACUAUUUUGCUGAACCAAAAAUUAUAAAAAUUUUAUGAUAUGAAUAUAUGUGAGUCUAGUUUCAGGAAAAAUUAACGGAUCUUAAUUUGGAGCUCUGUAGCUCCGGAUAAAAAUAAUUUAGUGACUCUGACUCGGAUAAACAGUUUUGAAUAUACAUGUGAGUAAAUAGUGAAAUUAUAGCUAAUGUUGUUUAAGUGUGUUAUACACAUUAAGGAUGUGGAAUGGAGAGGAGGAGGAGGAAAAUCGGGAAAUAUAUGAAUGAUUUGUGUAUAAUUGGUCAUAUGCUUGAUUUUAAUUGAUAAACGAUGAAGUAUGAAUUAUACUUAUAUUUGUGCAUUAUUGGUCAUGGUUUAAACUCAUGUGUGAAAAUAAAGUUUCAUAGUAUGUGUGUAUGGUAUAUUCAGUAUAUGAUGUGGCAUGAAAUAAUGUCAUGAAUGGUUUAUGAAUUAACACAUGUUGGUAAGCCUGAUAUAUGAAUAAAUGAUCAAAUUGAGCGGAACGCCGGAUUUGAGUACUUCUGAUCAAGUGAUAAAGUGAUAAGUGGUAGCAUUAGCUACACUUAUCUGAUCAAGUGAGAAAGUGAUAAGUGGUAGCAUUAGCAUUAGCUACACUUAUCUGAUCAAGUGAGAAAGUGAUAAGUGGUAGCAUUAGCUACACUUAUCUGAUCAAGAGACAAAGUGAUAAGUGGUAGCUUUAGCUACACUUAUCUGAUCAAGUGAAAAAGUGAUAAGUGCUAUACUUAUCUGAUCAAGUGACAAAGUGAUAAGUGUUAGCCUUAGCUACACUUAUCUGAUCAAGUGAGAAAGUGAUAAGUGGUAGCCUUAGCUACUCUUAUCUGAUCAAGUGACAAAGUGAUAAGUGAUAGCCUAGCUACACUUAUCUGAUCAGGGACAAGUGAUAAGUGAUCAUAUGUAAGACCAUAGUUAUACUAUGGCAAAGUGAAAGUGAAGUACUCAAUUUUCCGUAACCGUUCCCUAAUUUGAUUAAGGAUGGUAAGUGACAAAUGGGCCCAAAAGAAUUAAAGUAAAUGGAUAAGUGGUAGUGUAUUUAUAUCAGGACGAUGUUGUUAUUCAAGCUAAAAUGAUAUUUUCGUUGCAAAAUUGAGAAUUUCAUAAAUGUGUUAUUGAAUGGUAUAAUCAAUAAACAUUGAGUUAAAUGGUAAAUACAUUAGUGUUGAACUUGAUGUCAUUGAAUUGUACGUGAAUUAAAUGGAAAUUGCUAGUGAUAUGAUCUAAAUCGUGAGCAUGAGAAAUUGCGAAUUGAGGGAAAUGGAAAUGAAGCAUUGAAUUACAUGAGUAUGUAUCGGGUCUCGUAAGCCCUAAUUAUUAUGAUUAUAACAUUUUGAGGAUAUACUGUGAAAAGUUAUAGAAGCAUGUUAAUUAUUUUGAAAGUUUUAAUUUAAAUGAAAUUUUAUAACUCGGUUAAAUACGUUUACAAGUGCAUGUGUUUUGGUAAUGCCUCGUACCCUAUUCCGGUAUUGAAUACGGGUAAGGGGUGUUACAAAAGAAAUAAAAAAAUACCAAAAUAAUAUAACAAAAAAAUUAUUUACCAAAAUAAUACAAAAAAAGACGGCUGAAGGAGGGCAAUGGAAAGGCGGCACCAAAGGUGCCUUUCCUAUAGGCGACACAGGACUAAAAUGUAAUGAUCUGUAGUUUCAAGGACCUGACAUGUAAAUUUACCAUUUUAAAUUUUAAAAGUGAAUUGGUGCCGCCUGUGGGUGUGGCGGGCACUAAAGUUGAAACGUGGCUAAUUACCUUCUAAGCCCUCCUUAUUUAUUAUUUUCUUUUUAUUCCCCUUCAACUCACUUUUUUAUUUAAAAAACAAGCCCUCAACCUAUUUUUGUAGUUAAAUAAGCUCUUAAUCUAUGAUUUUUACUCAUAAAAGCCCUUUAUUUUAUUAUUGAAGUAAAUAUAUUUUACCUAAAGUAAAGCUAUUUAAAAAAGUAUAAACCAAUUCGCAUUUUAUGUAUUAUUUUGAUAAUUUGAUGAGAAUAGUUUAUUAAAUAAAAAAAAAAGUUACUAAAUUUACUAUUUUUUUAUUUACUAAAUUCCAAUUUCAUUUUUUUUAUUUUGGGCAACUAUUAUUCGGAUUUAUUCAGAUGUUUGGAUAUAUUUUAUUUUAUUAAUCAUACAUUAUAAUAAUUUAAUUAUGAUUAUAUUUGUAAUUGCAUUUAUUAUUUUUUAAUGCGUUAGUCAUUUUGGAAUUUGGUAAAGCAAUUAGAAUUUAGGGUACCUAGGUGACAAAUAUUUUUCAAAAUGAGUUUUUUUGGAGAGUACAUUAGCAAAAACAAAGCAAUCUAGGAACCUUAAUAGGAGAGUUAAAGGAUGCUAACCACACGUAAACACAAUUCUUAAUUGGUGUUAGGUUGCUGAAUUUCCUCAGAAUAUACAUAUAAAUGUAAAGAAGAUACAUAUCAAAAUAUUAUAGAAAGUAAAGGGGCAAAAGAUUUUUUGGUUAAUAAACUAGUAAAUUAUUUUCUUAAAUCUAUUAAAAAUAUUAUUAUUAAUACGUAUAAAUAAAAUCCAAAUCACUAAUGACCAACAUGGUAGUUAGCUCAAGUGUCAAAAUUUGAAAACAAAACAAUAAUUGUUGGAGAGUAAAAACAAUAGUUUUGUUUUUGUGAUAGUCAGUCAUAUAAUGACAAGUCAACACCAUAGAAAUAAGUCAAGCGAAAACUAGCGCAGGUUUUCAAAUAUUUGUUUCGCAGGUGUUGAAAGGAGGUGAUGAGAGAGAAAGGAUGAAAUUAUAACACGCCAUGUGAACGCUGGACAAAAUUCUCGGUAUAAUGUCGUUGACCCCUUCUGUGCUAGGGUGGCCACCAUUGGCUGGCUACUACUGCUUUUUGGUUAGGUUUUUGGUCCUUCCUUGCCAGGGACUUUUUGGGGCGGUGCAUCUCCACUGCUUAAAUAUUCUUUUUACUUUUAUAUAUAUAUGCUAAUUGGUACAUCCACUAUGCUGUCAAAUUCCCAACUCCAUCUCCAAUGUCAACAGCCUGAGAAAGUUGCCAUUUCUGAUGCUCAUUGGAUAUAAUUUUCUAAUUGCAUAAAGAUGAAGCUAAACAUUUUAUUUGUUAGCAAGAUAUAAUUUUUUGACUUAUUAUCCAUCUUUGUAUGUAUGCUGCGAGUUAACUCAUAUUGGCAAGUGUAUUAUAUUUGAAUCAAAUAAGUAGCAGUGGCGAGUUGGUAAAUAUUAUGCAUGUAGUAGUGAUCAAGUUUGGCACUAUGAAA